Molecule: ribosomal RNA, 513 nt
Filed under: uncultured bacterium
Lineage: Bacteria
Description: partial 16S ribosomal RNA
Rfam family: Bacterial small subunit ribosomal RNA
Source: RNAcentral
GAUGAACGCUGGCGGCGUGCCUAAUACAUGCAAGUCGAACGCGCAGCGAGAGGUGCUUGCACCUUUCAAGCGAGUGGUGAACGGGUGAGUAACACGUGGAUAACCUGCCUCAAGGCUGGGGAUAACAUUUGGAAACAGAUGCGAAUACCGAAUAAAACUUAGUAUCGCAUGAUAUCAAGUUAAAAGGCGCUACGGCGCCACCUAGUGACGGAUCCGCGGUGCAUUAGUUAGUUGGUGGGGUAAAGGCUCACCAAGACAAUGAUGCAUAGCCGAGUUGAGAGACUGAUCGGCCACAUUUGGACUGAGACACGGCCCAAACUCCUACGGGAGGCUGCAGUAGGGAAUCUUCCACAAUGGGCGCAAGCCUGAUGGAGCAACGCCGCGUGUGUGAUGAAGGCUUUCGGGUCGUAAAGCACUGUUGUAUGGGAAGAAAUGCUAAAAUAGGGAAUGAUUUUAGUUUGACGGUACCAUACCAGAAAGGGACGGCUAAAUACGUGCCAGCCGCCGCGGUAA